This 498-nucleotide ribosomal RNA is filed under the name uncultured bacterium. RNAcentral's name for it is "partial 16S ribosomal RNA". It matches the Rfam family "Bacterial small subunit ribosomal RNA", at positions 28 to 506 of the family's 1533-position model. The record is from RNAcentral.
GACGAACGCUGGCGGCGUGCCUAAUACAUGCAAGUCGAGCGGACCAAACAGGAGCUUGCUCUUGUUUGGUUAGCGGCGGACGGGUGAGUAACACGUGGGUAACCUGCCCGUAAGACCGGGAUAACUCCGGGAAACCGGAGCUAAUACCGGAUAACACCGAAGACCGCAUGGUCUUUGGUUGAAAGGCGGCUUCGGCUGCCACUUACGGAUGGGCCCGCGGCGCAUUAGCUAGUUGGUGAGGUAACGGCUCACCAAGGCGACGAUGCGUAGCCGGCCUGAGAGGGUGACCGGCCACACUGGGACUGAGACGCGGCCCAGACUCCUACGGGAGGCAGCAGUAGGGAAUCUUCCGCAAUGGACGAAAGUCUGACGGAGCGACGCCGCGUGAGCGAAGAAGGUCUUCGGAUCGUAAAGCUCUGUUGUUAGGGAAGAAGAAGCGCCGUUCGAACAGGGCGGCGCGGUGACGGUACCUAACGAGAAAGCCCCGGCUAACUACGU